RNAcentral lists this ribosomal RNA (107 nucleotides) under Pteropus alecto (black flying fox). The record is from RNAcentral. Lineage: Eukaryota; Metazoa; Chordata; Mammalia; Chiroptera; Pteropodidae.
GUCUGUGGCCAUUCCUCCCUGAACGAGCCUGAUGUCUGAUCUUGGAAGCUAAGCAGGGUUAGGUCUGGUUAAUACUUAGAUGGGAGACUACCUAGGUGCUGUAGGCA